Molecule: ribosomal RNA, 437 nt
Filed under: uncultured prokaryote
Description: partial 16S ribosomal RNA
Source: RNAcentral
CCCUACGGGGUGCACCUUCCAAUAGCAACUCUGACGAGAUGUUAGUGGCUGACCUGUAUAUUCGAUUUGGGAAGUUGCGUCUGAAGCAACCUUGCCGCUGUCCCAUAGGUCGCCAUGAUCCCGCUGCAGUAACUUCGGCGUGGACGCGACCAGCACCUGAUACGCCGUCUGCUUUUCGCCGCGCUGGCCCGAGUCCAGAAUCCAGCUCAAACGCGGGCGGGACGCAUCAAUACCAAGCGGGUUUACGAGGUAUUCACAGCGGAGAUAUUUGGUUUCAACUCCGGCAAAACAGACUCCUGCUAACAGCAGGAAUGCCGGGACGAUGCCUUUCAAGAUAAGUUUCAUACGAAUAAUUCGGCCCUCCUGAAUGUGUUUUUAUGGAUCUUUCGACACAAGCCUAAAUCUCAUAUGAAUUCCUCAGGGUGUGGCGGGGGGGC